AGAGUUUGAUCCUGGCUCAGGAUGAACGCUGACAGAAUGCUUAACACAUGCAAGUCGAUUCAAGUUACCUUCGGGUAACGAGGAUGGCGGACGGGUGAGUAACGCGUAAGGAACUUGCCUCUUGGUCUGGGACAACUGUUGGAAACGACAGCUAAUACCGGAUAUUAUGAGAUUCUCGCAUGGGAAACUUAUGAAAGCUAUAUGCGCCAAGAGAGAGCCUUGCGUUCCAUUAGCUAGUUGGUGGGGUAAUGGCCCACCAAGGCGACGAUGGAUAGCCGGCCUGAGAGGGUGAACGGCCACAAGGGGACUGAGACACGGCCCUUACUCCUACGGGAGGCAGCAGUGGGGAAUAUUGGACAAUGGGCCACAAGCCUGAUCCAGCAAUUCUGUGUGCACGAUGAAGGUCUUCGGAUUGUAAAGUGCUUUCAGUUGGGAAGAAGAAAGUGACGGUACCAACAGGAGAAGCGACGGCUAAAUACGUGCCAGCAGCCGCGGUAAUACGUAUGUCGCAAGCGUUAUCCGGAUUUAUUGGGCGUAAAGCGCGUCUAGGCGGAAAAAUAAGUCUGAUGUUAAAAUGCGGGGCUCAACUCCGUAUUGCGUUGGAAACUGUUUUUCUAGAGUACUGGAGAGGUGGGCGGAACUAC
RNAcentral lists this ribosomal RNA (644 nucleotides) under uncultured bacterium. Its description in RNAcentral is "bacterial SSU rRNA". It matches the Rfam family "Bacterial small subunit ribosomal RNA", at positions 8 to 670 of the family's 1533-position model. The record is from RNAcentral.